CCUAAAUUCCAAAUUUCCUUUUGUUUUCAGUUGUAUUUUCAGAUGAAUCUAAAGUCAUAAGUCAAGUUUUCGCCAAUGUUUUCUAGUAUUUUCAAAUAAUUUGUUGUGAUUUUAAUGCAUACAUGGGUUUAUAUCCUGCAGUGAAUACAUUAAUUUUAUCAACAAGUUUCAUCAGAUAAAAAGACAAACAUCUUUCUUUGAGUUGAGGCACGGAUUAUAUUGUAAUAUUUUGAUUUGAAUAUGAAUUUUGUGCAGCAAUCUUGGAGUUUAGAAGUAGAUAGGAGCUACUAUAUCUUCAUUCCAUUAGAUCCUUCAGGUUUACGUGUAAGGGUUAUGUGAAUCAGAUGGCUUAUGCUGGAGUUCUGCCAAUGAAUCGAAGAAUCCAAUUCAUUAUGUACAGUCUUCAAAUUGGACGUUCUUUUGUUCAAUAAUUUGGUAAUAUAUACAGAAGAAUAUCUUAUUUGACAUAACUGAAUUGUUUCAUUACCUCUUGUUGGAAAAAUCAAUAUGUAUUAUAAUGUGUAAUAAAAAGUAUAUCAUUA
Long non-coding RNA from Coccinella septempunctata (seven-spotted ladybird), 542 nucleotides. RefSeq lists it as uncharacterized. The transcript is spliced from 2 exons. The record is from RefSeq and is a predicted model, not a curated record. Lineage: Eukaryota; Metazoa; Arthropoda; Insecta; Coleoptera; Coccinellidae.